Long non-coding RNA from Trifolium pratense (red clover), 1385 nucleotides. RefSeq lists it as uncharacterized. The record is from RefSeq and is a predicted model, not a curated record. NCBI's taxonomy places the organism in Eukaryota, Viridiplantae, Streptophyta, Magnoliopsida, Fabales, Fabaceae. The transcript is spliced from 3 exons.
AAGUUAAUAUGCAUAAGGGUUUUUUUAUGCAUGGUGCAUACGGACUUCACAACCAUCAGAUUUAGUUUUACACGUGUUAUAAUCCUAGCUCCUCUCAGCUCACACUCUCACAAUCAGACACGGCUUCAAUCAAUCAAAACGAAGACGGCGAUGACAUUUUCACCGACGCACUUCUCCAAUGUUUCACCGACGACCCGCCGGAAACUUCUACCUCUGAUUCCACGUUUCCAGUGAAUCGAUCCAUUGUUUUCUUCAAUUCCGAUUGAAAUGGCCGAUCAGUUAGCGAGGGCAGAGGAUUUCGAGAAGAAAGCUGAGAAGAAGCUCAGCGGUUGGGGCUUAUUCGGUUCAAAAUUCAAAGAUGCUGCUGAUCUCUUCGAUAAAGCUGCAAAUUCAUUCCAACUCACUAAAUCAUGUACAACAUGUUUAUCAAUGGAUACCACCAUGACAAGGAUGGCUGAAAUGCAACGUCGACGCCGGCUUUCAUAAGGAUGGCAGAAUCACAAGAGGAGGAUGGUGCAUCUGAGAUGACGGCGGACUAUUUAGGCGUGCAGGAACAUAUUGGAUAAGUCAUGAGAAUAAGCAAGAAAUCAUUACUAUUUCAUUUAGUUAGUACUACUUCAUUGCUUGAUGAAUACUGUACUAUAUGUCUUCUGUUCCAAUUUCCAACAUAUUAAUGAUUAACAAGAACAUAGCACAUCUAUAUGACCGAAGUACAUGAUACAUGUAGGUUGUACCUCAUUGUUUGUGCCCUGAAUUGAACUGUAUUUUCCAAUGCCCUUUGCAUAACAUUAGUGAAAAAUAUUUGGAUUGCAUUUCUUCUUGUUCUAAUAUGCAUUCACAACCAAAAAAUUGUGUGUGUGGUUUUAUAUUAAGGAGUAGAAUGCUUAUAGGGAAAGGGUAUGGGUUAUUGCUCAAGUGGAAUUCUGUUUGUGGUUAAGCUUGGGAAUUGGUACUCUGCUUGAGCAAAGGUUGUAUGUACUCCAUAAGGAUUAGGAUGAUACAUUGAUACAUGCUUUAGAAUGUACUAGAUUGUAUGUUUUAUCUUUCUUCCAUUAGCAUUUUCAUGUACUAUGUUUGUAGUUUCAUUGACAUGUUUGCUUGCUUUUAUUGCACAGCUCUCUUUCAGAUAAUAAGGACAGCAACAAGUGGAGGCAUGGCAUAAUGGAGCUUUGAGUUGGAUUGUACCAUUUUCUCUUUCUUAGCAAGUGUAGUUGGAUAGUAUCCUUAUUUCAAAUAUUAAGAGAUUGUUGUUUUUAAAUUUCAACUUUGAGGUAAAGUUUGUAAAGCGUCAAGGGAAUUUGGUUGCUCAUAUGUUAGCUAGUGCGGCCAAUUCAUAGGCUAGUCGUUGUGUUUUCUAUUCGAUUCCUCCUUGUAUUGAGAACCAA